Paramuricea clavata is the source of this 83-nucleotide non-coding RNA. Lineage: Eukaryota; Metazoa; Cnidaria; Anthozoa; Malacalcyonacea; Plexauridae. The record is from the annotation of a GenBank genome assembly.
AUUCCUAUUAGAUUUUGGCCCAAUUUCCUAUAGGAUCCUAUAGGAAUUCCUAUAGGAAAUUGGGCCAAAAUCUAAUAGGAAUU